This is a long non-coding RNA of Lycium ferocissimum, 904 nucleotides long. RefSeq lists it as uncharacterized. Lineage: Eukaryota; Viridiplantae; Streptophyta; Magnoliopsida; Solanales; Solanaceae. The transcript has 4 exons. The record is from RefSeq and is a predicted model, not a curated record.
CUGCACAAGUAUGGGCUUUAAAAGCAAUUCAAUCUGCUUGGAGAAAGUAUAAGAAUUGGUUGAAGAAAAAACACUAGGUACCCUAUGCCAAUGACGAACUUCGAAUGGAAAAAAGGCCCGGAUAUGUUCCACAAUCUCAUUUUAAGGAUCUCCUUGAAUACUGGAACUCCGAAAAAUCUCAGAAAAUGUCCAAAACUAAUACAGAGAAUCGUAAAAAGUUGAGGUAUCCGCAUACUAUUGGCAAAAAAAGCUUUGCUAUAAUUCGCGAGGAAAAAAAGAAUGAAGGUCCUGAUGCUGUGACGAAUAAGGCCAUCUUUGUGGCUACAAGAAAGAGGAAACUGGGGUCGAGUAUACAAGGACUCAUAUGAAGAUACGAUUAGGAAAAUAUUACGAAACUUUCUAAUAUAAAGUUUAUCGAGAUCAUUUGUUUGUUCUUAAAUGUUGGAUCAGUUUGAUAUACUUAAACUCUCUACUCUUGAAUCUGAUUUGUAGGCUAAAAUGGAAAGAAUAUAAACUCAAGAAAGCGAAGAUGAAAGUCAAUCAGUUGAUGCAUUUGCCUCAGUUAUAGGACCAGAUCAUCUAGGCCAUGUAAGAUUGUAUAGGCGUGGGAUUACCAAAAUUGUCUUGAAAGGGAAAGUGGGAGAUUCUGGACCCUCUUUAAAUGGUACUGAUGAAGCAAAAAAUGGAGGAGAUAGAAGCGAGGAUGCAAAAAAUGUAGGAAAAAUUCGAUGCACAAACGGAGGUGAUGGAACAAGGUAUUACAAUGAACGUCAUUGUACAACUUCAGCUUCUAAACCCAGACUUAGUACUUGAUCCUAGCAUGCUAAGAUUCAGUAUUCGUUCGCGGGGAGAAGCUGCUAGUAGUAACAACUAAGGUGUUGAAAAUGAAGAAAUGGAAGGUGAU